GGUGGGGUAGCUCAGUUGGUAGAGCGGCGGGUUGGUGCCCCGCAGGUCGCAGGUUCAAGUCCUGCUCCCGGCCGCCA
This 77-nucleotide transfer RNA is filed under the name Gemmata palustris. RNAcentral describes it as "Gemmata sp. G18 tRNA-Thr". It matches the Rfam family "tRNA". Rfam says of the family: Transfer RNA (tRNA) molecules are approximately 80 nucleotides in length. Their secondary structure includes four short double-helical elements and three loops (D, anti-codon, and T loops). The record is from RNAcentral. Lineage: Bacteria; Pseudomonadati; Planctomycetota; Planctomycetia; Gemmatales; Gemmataceae.